CUUGCUUCUCUUGAGAGCGGCGGACGGGUGAGUAAUGCCUAGGAAUCUGCCUGGUAGUGGGGGAUAACGUUCGGAAACGGACGCUAAUACCGCAUACGUCCUACGGGAGAAAGCAGGGGACCUUCGGGCCUUGCGCUAUCAGAUGAGCCUAGGUCGGAUUGGCUAGUUGGUGGGGUAAUGGCUCACCAAGGCGACGAUCCGUAACUGGUCUGAGAGGAUGAUCAGUCACACUGGAACUGAGACACGGUCCAGACUCCUACGGGAGGCAGCAGUGGGGAAUAUUGGACAAUGGGCGAAAGCCUGAUCCAGCCAUGCCGCGUGUGUGAAGAAGGUCUUCGGAUUGUAAAGCACUUUAAGUUGGGAGGAAGGGUUGUAGAUUAAUACUCUGCAAUUUUGACGUUACCGACAGAAUAAGCACCGGCUAACUCUGUGCCAGCAGCCGCGGUAAUACAGAGGGUGCAAGCGUUAAUCGGAAUUACUGGGCGUAAAGCGCGCGUAGGUGGUUUGUUAAGUUGGAUGUGAAAUCCCCGGGCUCAACCUGGGAACUGCAUUCAAAACUGACUGACUAGAGUAUGGUAGAGGGUGGUGGAAUUUCCUGUGUAGCGGUGAAAUGCGUAGAUAUAGGAAGGAACACCAGUGGCGAAGCGACCACCUGGACUAAUACUGACACUGAGGUGCGAAAGCGUGGGGAGCAAACAGGAUUAGAUACCCUGGUAGUCCACGCCGUAAACGAUGUCAACUAGCCGUUGGAAGCCUUUGAGCUUUUAGUGGCGCAGCUAACGCAUUAAGUGACCGCCUGGGGAGUACGGCCGCAAAGGUUAAAACUCAAAUGAAUGACGG
This 840-nucleotide ribosomal RNA is filed under the name uncultured bacterium. Its description in RNAcentral is "bacterial SSU rRNA". It matches the Rfam family "Bacterial small subunit ribosomal RNA", at positions 79 to 916 of the family's 1533-position model. The record is from RNAcentral.